Molecule: ribosomal RNA, 497 nt
Filed under: uncultured bacterium
Lineage: Bacteria
Description: partial 16S ribosomal RNA
Rfam family: Bacterial small subunit ribosomal RNA
Source: RNAcentral
GACGAACGCUGGCGGCGUGCCUAAUACAUGCAAGUUGAGCGCUGAAGGUUGGUACUUGUACCAACUGGAUGAGCAGCGAACGGGUGAGUAACGCGUGGGGAAUCUGCCUUUAAGCGGGGGACAACAUUUGGAAACGAAUGCUAAUACCGCAUAAAAACUUUAAACACAAGUUUUAAGUUUGAAAGAUGCAAUUGCAUCACUCAAAGAUGAUCCCGCGUUGUAUUAGCUAGUUGGUGAGGUAAAGGCUCGCCAAGGCGAUGAUACAUAGCCGACCUGAGAGGGUGAUCGGCCACAUUGGGACUGAGACACGGCCCAAACUCCUACGGGAGGCAGCAGUAGGGAAUCUUCGGCAAUGGACGAAAGUCUGACCGAGCAACGCCGCGUGAGUGAAGAAGGUUGUCGGAUCGUAAAACUCUGUUGGUAGAGAAGAACGUUGGUGAGAGUGGAAAGCUCAUCAAGUGACGGUAACUACCCAGAAAGGGACGGCUAACUACGUG